RNAcentral lists this transfer RNA (74 nucleotides) under Patiria miniata (bat star). RNAcentral's name for it is "tRNA-Ala". It matches the Rfam family "tRNA". Rfam says of the family: Transfer RNA (tRNA) molecules are approximately 80 nucleotides in length. Their secondary structure includes four short double-helical elements and three loops (D, anti-codon, and T loops). Lineage: Eukaryota; Metazoa; Echinodermata; Asteroidea; Valvatida; Asterinidae. The record is from RNAcentral.
GGCCUGGAUAGCUCAGUUGGUAGAGCACCGGAACUGCAAUCCAGAGAUUGCAGGUUCAAACCCUGCUCCAGUCA